GUCAACACCCAAUUUCGUCCGGGAAAGUAAAUAAUCAUUAUUAAAGAAAAUAAUAAUCUUCCUCAAUGCAGGACACAUCACUUUAGAAUGUUUUUGAAAUAUUAGUUUAAUAUGGUAAUAAUUUGAAUUAUAUUGUCUGACAAUAAUUACAAUCUUUGUCAUUUAUUUGAUUGCAAUCAAGACCAUUUUUUCCCUAUUUUGUCCAUUGUCAAU
RNAcentral lists this long non-coding RNA (213 nucleotides) under Vigna radiata. RNAcentral describes it as "long non-coding RNA (VRAD_LNC015652)". Lineage: Eukaryota; Viridiplantae; Streptophyta; Magnoliopsida; Fabales; Fabaceae. The record is from RNAcentral.